AGACCCUGCCUUAGGAGGCCCAUCUAAAGAUCAUUGCAAGAAGGACAAAUAUCACAGCAGGAGGGAAGAGCACGAACAACCUGGAAUGAAGAAAGCUAGGCAGCCUGUUGUGAACCCACCAGGCACCUCAGAUGAUAUCGAGACUUCCUUUGGAGGCUCAUCUCAAGG
Danio aesculapii is the source of this 168-nucleotide long non-coding RNA. RefSeq lists it as uncharacterized. Lineage: Eukaryota; Metazoa; Chordata; Actinopteri; Cypriniformes; Danionidae. The record is from RefSeq and is a predicted model, not a curated record. The transcript has 4 exons.